GUCAAUGUGGCAUAGUGAUUUAAGUGUUGAAGUAUGACUCAAGAGGCCAGGGUUCGAAUCCCUGCUCAGCCA
Phrynosoma platyrhinos (Desert horned lizard) is the source of this 72-nucleotide non-coding RNA. The record is from the annotation of a GenBank genome assembly. Lineage: Eukaryota; Metazoa; Chordata; Lepidosauria; Squamata; Phrynosomatidae.